CCGCGAAGCUUCGCUUGCUGAGCUAGUAAGUGGCGCACGGGUGAGUAACGCGUGGGUAAUCUACCUCCAAAUUGGGGAUAACAUUGCGAAAGCGAUGCUAAUACCGAAUGAUAUCUCAAAAACUUUGGUUUCUGAGAUCAAAGGUGGCCUCUCCAUGGAAGCUACUGUUAGGAGAUGAGCCCGCGUACCAUUAGCUUGUUGGUAGGGUAAUGGCCUACCAAGGCAACGAUGGUAAGCUGGUCUGAGAGGAUGAUCAGCCACACUGGAACUGACACACGGUCCAGACUCCUACGGGAGGCAGCAGUGAGGAAUUUUGCGCAAUGGGGGAAACCCUGACGCAGCAACGCCGCGUGAGUGAUGAAGGCCUUCGGGUCGUAAAGCUCUGUCAAGUGGGAAGAACCUGCCCUGUGCUAAUAUCACCGGACACUGACGGUACCACUGAAGGAAGCACCGGCUAACUCCGUGCCAGCAGCCGCGGUAACACGGGGGGUGCAAGCGUUAUUCGGAAUCACUGGGCGUGAAGAGCGCGUAGGCGGUCUCUUAAGUCAGAUGUGAAAGCCCGGGGCUCAACCCCGGAAGUGCAUUUGAAACGAAGGGACUUGAGUAUGGGAGAGGGAAGUGGAAUUCCUGGUGUAGCGGUGAAAUGCGUA
This 650-nucleotide ribosomal RNA is filed under the name uncultured bacterium. RNAcentral describes it as "bacterial SSU rRNA". It matches the Rfam family "Bacterial small subunit ribosomal RNA", at positions 67 to 692 of the family's 1533-position model. The record is from RNAcentral.